RNAcentral lists this ribosomal RNA (261 nucleotides) under uncultured prokaryote. RNAcentral describes it as "partial 16S ribosomal RNA". It matches the Rfam family "Bacterial small subunit ribosomal RNA", at positions 524 to 784 of the family's 1533-position model. The record is from RNAcentral.
UACGUAGGGUACGAGCGUUGUCCGGAAUUAUUGGGCGUAAAGAGCUCGUAGGUGGUUGGUCACGUCUGCUGUAGAAACGCAACGCUUAACGUUGCGCGGGCAGUGGGUACGGGCUGACUAGAGUGCAGUAGGGGAGUCUGGAAUUCCUGGUGUAGCGGUGAAAUGCGCAGAUAUCAGGAGGAACACCGGUGGCGAAGGCGGGACUCUGGGCUGUGACUGACACUGAGGAGCGAAAGCAUGGGGAGCGAACAGGAUUAGAUA